UACGUAGGUGGCGAGCGUUAUCCGGAAUGAUUGGGCGUAAAGGGUGCGUAGGCGGCACGGCAAGCCGGCGGUCAAAUCGCGGGGCUCAACCCCGCCCAGCCGUCGGAACUGCCGGGCUAGAGUGGGCGAGAAGUGCGCGGAAUGCGUGGUGUAGCGGUGAAAUGCAUAGAUAUCACGCAGAACUCCGAUUGCGAAGGCAGCGCACCGGCGCCCUACUGACGCUCAGGCACGAAAGCGUGGGUAUCGAACAGG
Molecule: ribosomal RNA, 252 nt
Filed under: uncultured bacterium
Lineage: Bacteria
Description: partial 16S ribosomal RNA
Rfam family: Bacterial small subunit ribosomal RNA
Source: RNAcentral